RNAcentral lists this ribosomal RNA (733 nucleotides) under uncultured Staphylococcus sp. Its description in RNAcentral is "bacterial SSU rRNA". It matches the Rfam family "Bacterial small subunit ribosomal RNA", at positions 59 to 774 of the family's 1533-position model. Lineage: Bacteria; Bacillati; Bacillota; Bacilli; Caryophanales; Staphylococcaceae. The record is from RNAcentral.
AAGUCGAGCGAACGGACGAGAAGCUUGCUUCUCUGAUGUUAGCGGCGGACGGGUGAGUAACACGUGGAUAACCUACCUAUAAGACUGGGAUAACUUCGGGAAACCGGAGCUAAUACCGGAUAAUAUUUUGAACCGCAUGGUUCAAAAGUGAAAGACGGUCUUGCUGUCACCUAUAGAUGGAUCCGCGCUGCAUUAGCUAGUUGGUAAGGUAACGGCUUACCAAGGCAACGAUGCAUAGCCGACCUGAGAGGGUGAUCGGCCACACUGGAACUGAGACACGGUCCAGACUCCUACGGGAGGCAGCAGUAGGGAAUCUUCCGCAAUGGGCGAAAGCCUGACGGAGCAACGCCGCGUGAGUGAUGAAGGUCUUCGGAUCGUAAAACUCUGUUAUUAGGGAAGAACAUAUGUGUAAGUAACUGUGCACAUCUUGACGGUACCUAAUCAGAAAGCCACGGCUAACUACGUGCCAGCAGCCGCGGUAAUACGUAGGUGGCAAGCGUUAUCCGGAAUUAUUGGGCGUAAAGCGCGCGUAGGCGGUUUUUUAAGUCUGAUGUGAAAGCCCACGGCUCAACCGUGGAGGGUCAUUGGAAACUGGAAAACUUGAGUGCAGAAGAGGAAAGUGGAAUUCCAUGUGUAGCGGUGAAAUGCGCAGAGAUAUGGAGGAACACCAGUGGCGAAGGCGACUUUCUGGUCUGUAACUGACGCUGAUGUGCGAAAGCGUGGGGAUCAAACA